Meleagris gallopavo (turkey) is the source of this 1190-nucleotide non-coding RNA. NCBI's taxonomy places the organism in Eukaryota, Metazoa, Chordata, Aves, Galliformes, Phasianidae. The record is from RefSeq and is a predicted model, not a curated record.
AGACUGCUGUGUUCCUUCCAGGAAUGAUGGAACAGAAUUUGGAGGCUCCAUUUACCAGAAGGUGAAUGAUAAACUGGAAACUGCUGUGAAUCUUGCUUGGACAGCUGGUAACAGCAACACUCGCUUUGGAAUAGCAGCCAAGUAUCAGAUUGACCCAGAUGCCUCUUUUUCUGCUAAAGUGAACAACUCCAGUCUGAUUGGACUGGGAUACACUCAGACUUUAAAGCCAGGUAUCAAGCUGACAUUGUCAGCUUUGUUGGAUGGCAAGAAUGUCAAUGCAGGUGGUCACAAACUUGGUCUAGGAUUGGAAUUUGAAGCAUAAGAAGAGAUUUUACAAUCAUUAAUUUGAAAAUACAGCAUAGUUACCUUCAGAAUAUAGUGUACCUUUCAAUGUUGUAUGUCUGGGAUGCAAGUAAUGCUAAAUAUCAGUCCUGCUAGUCCUGGUUAAAGACAGCUAAGCUUUAAAAUGAUGUUUCAGAAAUGGAGACAAAAAGCAUUCUAAAAAGUCCGAAUUCCAGGCUUUUAUUUUGUUUUGGGAUGUUAUUGCCCACCUUAUCUGUCAGCUGCCGUGUGAUAGCAAAUAGGAGGAUAUUAUUACCUUUACUAACAUAUUGACUGCACAAGGAAUAUGUUAGUGUGAUACAAGAACUGUUAUGUUGAGAAUCGCAGACCACUGUUGUACUGUUAAUUCUUGCAAAAUGUUCUGACACUUAAGGCCUCAAUUCACUGUGGAAUGUGCAAAACUUGCCUGAAAAAAGGGAUUAUUUUUUUGUCCUGAUGGAUGUUUCACAACUGGUUUGUCUCAUUUGGUUCUUUUACACCUACAGCUGUCUCCAGAACGCUUUAGGUUGUCUACUUUGUGUAACUGCUGCCGAGAAGGUUUGAUGUGACUCAGCCAAUACUACUUGUCCUGUGCUGUGGUUCCUUUCCCUUGCACUGAAUGGAAAGCUUGUAAGACAGGGCCAUAAUCAGGGAAGAGUGUUUGUAACUGCAAUCACAUAGUUGCAUCACUAAAUUUAAAAUGGACUUUUGUUUUAUUACCACUUUUUUUUAGCAACUAAAUGGGUACGUUUUUAGAGUCUUCCAUUUUGUGUGGAAAUAGACCCCAAAGUGCUGUACCUGACACUACUAAAACUGGAUACAAAAAAACCAAACCCAACUUGAAUAAAAUAUUGAAAUAUCACCUUUUA